RNAcentral lists this long non-coding RNA (415 nucleotides) under Brassica napus (rape). RNAcentral's name for it is "long non-coding RNA (BNAP_LNC005494)". Lineage: Eukaryota; Viridiplantae; Streptophyta; Magnoliopsida; Brassicales; Brassicaceae. The record is from RNAcentral.
UCCCAUAAUAUUUAUAUAUAUACAUAUAGAUUUUAAAAACCUCAUAUUAACAACUUUCAAUUGGAGUUGAUUGUUGAAAAUAUAAUACAUGACGACUGAGAAGUACAAACCCAAAAGAUAAAAAAAACUAGCUUACAUAGAUAAUCACAAUGAUAAAAUUUCCAAUGCAACAAGGAGUCCAAACUUCAAGCGGAGCUAUGGUAAUGAAAACUCAAAAUAAAUAUCUAUCAUAGUGAAUAGCACAGACUAAUUAAGCAAAUAAUAUAUCUUCAAAGCCCGAAGAACAUAACAAAUAGUUCCAUAAAAAUCACCCAUGACUGACGAAGUCGAAUAUUAGACAAACAACAGAUGAAGUUAAACAUGCGACAAGAAAACGACAAGGAAAAGCAAGGCAAGGAUGAUGGUUCGAGCAGAC